GCGUGGGUCGGCCCGCUGCACUGGGUCCAGCGGGCUGGGGGAACACCCGCCGUCCCCAUCCCCGCGGGCGGCGGACCGGUCCGGGAGGCGCAGCGGUGCCUCCCGGACUGCG
RNAcentral lists this non-coding RNA (112 nucleotides) under Streptomyces albus subsp. albus DSM 41398. RNAcentral describes it as "Streptomyces RNA 4115". It matches the Rfam family "Streptomyces RNA 4115". From Rfam's summary of the family: Identified by deep sequencing of transcriptome at the end of exponential growth phase. Sequencing size consistent with notrthern blot size. The record is from Rfam by way of RNAcentral. Lineage: Bacteria; Bacillati; Actinomycetota; Actinomycetes; Kitasatosporales; Streptomycetaceae.